Molecule: long non-coding RNA, 622 nt
Organism: Dreissena polymorpha
Lineage: Eukaryota; Metazoa; Mollusca; Bivalvia; Myida; Dreissenidae
Exons: 3
Source: RefSeq, a predicted model, not a curated record
AAAAGACGUUGGUUACCAACAUUACCCAAACUUUCUCUGAUGACGUCAACAACAUAACGUCGAAUUUCACGUUGAUUUGCGGUGCGCGAGAAGUCUGUGAAGACGUGCACGUUGAGGUUUACCUCGAAAAUACAAGUUUGAUAAACAAGCACAACGUGCAAAUGAAAUGUUUGAAUACUUCAAAGUCCGACACUCACGGAUAUGACAUCACGUGCGAAUAUGUCGUCGGAAGCGAAAUGAUUAAGUCUCUAUCUUCUCUGAACUUGACGUGUGUUUCAUGGGGAAAUAACUCAGUUGUCAGACAACAAGAGCUGUUCGAGUUACCAGUUUGUUGGGAGAAAAGUAAUACUUGUAACUGUUCCCAACCACGUGACACGUGUAAAGGAAUGUGCGACAUCCUGACGUCAUGUGGUACCAGACACGUGCAAUUGAAAAAUCCGGUGAACACAGAAUGCUCGACCGAGUGCUUUCCAAAGUGGUGCAGAAGUCGAAACAACAGUCUCCUGACUGACACAAAUAAUAUUCUACUCUCUGUAUGUGAGCUUUGACGCGGUCACAAAUAUGUUACUCCGACCGAUUACAAUUGGAAUUUAUGUUAAUUGUCAAUUUAUCAUCAGUUACC